This 72-nucleotide transfer RNA is filed under the name Planctomycetota bacterium. RNAcentral describes it as "Planctomycetes bacterium (soil metagenome) tRNA-Arg". It matches the Rfam family "tRNA". Rfam says of the family: Transfer RNA (tRNA) molecules are approximately 80 nucleotides in length. Their secondary structure includes four short double-helical elements and three loops (D, anti-codon, and T loops). The record is from RNAcentral. Lineage: Bacteria; Pseudomonadati; Planctomycetota.
GCUGCGGUCGUUCAAUGGACAGGACCCCGCUUUCCGAAAGCGGCAAUGAUGGUUCGAGUCCAUCCUGCAGCG